AGGGUUGUAGUUUAAAUAAAAAAUAUUUGAUUUGCAUUCAAAAGAAAUAAUUUUUAUCUGCCUUAUUUUU
Non-coding RNA from Culicoides brevitarsis, 70 nucleotides. The record is from the annotation of a RefSeq genome assembly. NCBI's taxonomy places the organism in Eukaryota, Metazoa, Arthropoda, Insecta, Diptera, Ceratopogonidae.